CGUCAGUGUUUUUAGGGGAUGGAACAAAUGGCAAUGAAAAAGAACGACCAGUUGCUGAGGCUUGAAGGACUCCAGCAGUUAUCUGGAACCAGUAAACAUUAAGGUUCAUCAGAAGCUCCGCCCCUUUGAAUCAGAAUGGCCGGGCUGCCUGUGUCCCUGUGACGAUGCUGUCCUCUUCAAUUUGCCUUGAGCCGGUUGCAAUGGGCAC
Molecule: long non-coding RNA, 208 nt
Filed under: Fukomys damarensis (Damara mole-rat)
Lineage: Eukaryota; Metazoa; Chordata; Mammalia; Rodentia; Bathyergidae
Description: lncRNA (ENSFDAG00000029783.1)
Source: RNAcentral